Molecule: ribosomal RNA, 407 nt
Filed under: uncultured bacterium
Lineage: Bacteria
Description: partial 16S ribosomal RNA
Rfam family: Bacterial small subunit ribosomal RNA
Source: RNAcentral
AUUGAACGCUGGCGGCAGGCCUAACACAUGCAAGUCGAGCGGAGCGGCGGACGGGUGAGUAAUGCUUAGGACUCUGCCUGGUAGUGGGGGAUAACGUCCGGUAAUGGGCGCUAAUACCGCAUACUCUCAGAUGAGCCUAGGCCGGCAUAGCUAGAUGGUGGGGUAAAGGCCUACCAAGGCGAAGAUCCCUAGCUGGUCUGAGAGGAAGAUCAGUCACACUGGAACUGAGACACGGUCCAGACUCCUACGGGAGGCAGCAGUGGGGAAUAUUGGACAAUGGGCGAAAGCCUGAUGCAGCCAUGCCGCGUGUGUGAAGAAGGUCUUCGGGUUGUAAAGCACUUUAAGUUGGGAGGCGUUACCAACAGAAGAAGCACCGGCUAACUUCGUGCCAGCAGCCGCGGUAAUAC